Molecule: ribosomal RNA, 497 nt
Filed under: uncultured bacterium
Lineage: Bacteria
Description: partial 16S ribosomal RNA
Rfam family: Bacterial small subunit ribosomal RNA
Source: RNAcentral
GAUGAACGCUGGCGGCGUGCCUAAUACAUGCGAGUCGAGCGAACAGACGAGGAGCUUGCUCCUCUGACGUUAGCGGCGGACGGGUGAGUAACACGUGGAUAACCUACCUAUAAGACUGGGAUAACUUCGGGAAACCGGAGCUAAUACCGGAUAAUAUAUUGAACCGCAUGGUUCAAUAGUGAAAGACGGUUUUGCUGUCACUUAUAGAUGGAUCCGCGCCGCAUUAGCUAGUUGGUAAGGUAACGGCUUACCAAGGCAACGAUGCGUAGCCGACCUGAGAGGGUGAUCGGCCAUACUGGAACUGAGACACGGUCCAGACUCCUACGGGAGGCAGCAGUAGGGAAUCUUCCGCAAUGGGCGAAAGCCUGACGGAGCAACGCCGCGUGAGUGAUGAAGGUCUUCGGAUCGUAAAACUCUGUUAUUAGGGAAGAACAAAUGUGUAAGUAACUAUGCACGUCUUGACGGUACCUAAUCAGAAAGCCACGGCUAACUACGUG